AUUGAACGCUGGCGGCAGGCCUAACACAUGCAAGUCGAACGGUAGCACAGAGAGCUUGCUCUCGGGUGACGAGUGGCGGACGGGUGAGUAAUGUCUGGGAAACUGCCUGAUGGAGGGGGAUAACUACUGGAAACGGUAGCUAAUACCGCAUAACGUCGCAAGACCAAAGAGGGGGACCUUCGGGCCUCUUGCCAUCAGAUGUGCCCAGAUGGGAUUAGCUAGUAGGUGGGGUAACGGCUCACCUAGGCGACGAUCCCUAGCUGGUCUGAGAGGAUGACCAGCCACACUGGAACUGAGACACGGUCCAGACUCCUACGGGAGGCAGCAGUGGGGAAUAUUGCACAAUGGGCGCAAGCCUGAUGCAGCCAUGCCGCGUGUAUGAAGAAGGCCUUCGGGUUGUAAAGUACUUUCAGCGGGGAGGAAGGUGUUGAGGUUAAUAACCUCAGCAAUUGACGUUACCCGCAGAAGAAGCACCGGCUAACUCCGUGCCAGCAGCCGCGGUAACACGGAGGGUGCAAGCGUUAAUCGGAAUUACUGGGCGUAAAGCGCACGCAGGCGGUCUGUCAAGUCGGAUGUGAAAUCCCCGGGCUCAACCUGGGAACUGCAUUCGAAACUGGCAGGCUGGAGUCUUGUAGAGGGGGGUAGAAUUCCAGGUGUAGCGGUGAAAUGCGUAGAGAUCUGGAGGAAUACCGGUGGCGAAGGCGGCCCCCUGGACAAAGACUGACGCUCAGGUGCGAAAGCGUGGGGAGCAAACAGGAUUAGAUACCCUGGUAGUCCACGCUGUAAACGAUGUCGACUUGGAGGUUGUUCCCUUGAGGAGUGGCUUCCGGAGCUAACGCGUUAAGUCGACCGCCUGGGGAGUACGGCCGCAAGGUUAAAACUCAAAUGAAUUGACGGGGGCCCGCACAAGCGGUGGAGCAUGUGGUUUAAUUCGAUGCAACGCGAAGAACCUUACCUACUCUUGACAUCCACGGAACUUAGCAGAGAUGCUUUGGUGCCUUCGGGAACCGUGAGACAGGUGCUGCAUGGCUGUCGUCAGCUCGUGUUGUGAAAUGUUGGGUUAAGUCCCGCAACGAGCGCAACCCUUAUCCUUUGUUGCCAGCGGUUCGGCCGGGAACUCAAGGGAGACUGCCAGUGAUAAACUGGAGGAAGGUGGGGAUGACGUCAAGUCAUCAUGGCCCUUACGAGUAGGGCUACACACGUGCUACAAUGGCAUAUACAAAGAGAAGCGACCUCGCGAGAGCAAGCGGACCUCAUAAAGUAUGUCGUAGUCCGGAUUGGAGUCUGCAACUCGACUCCAUGAAGUCGGAAUCGCUAGUAAUCGUGGAUCAGAAUGCCACGGUGAAUACGUUCCCGGGCCUUGUACACACCGCCCGUCACACCAUGGGAGUGGGUUGCAAAAGAAGUAGGUAGCUUAACCUUCGGGAGGGCGCUUACCACUUUGUGAUUCAUGACUGGGGUGA
Molecule: ribosomal RNA, 1463 nt
Filed under: uncultured Klebsiella sp.
Lineage: Bacteria; Pseudomonadati; Pseudomonadota; Gammaproteobacteria; Enterobacterales; Enterobacteriaceae
Description: bacterial SSU rRNA
Rfam family: Bacterial small subunit ribosomal RNA
Source: RNAcentral